Molecule: transfer RNA, 86 nt
Filed under: bacterium
Lineage: Bacteria
Also listed under: 1 other name
Description: tRNA-Leu
Rfam family: tRNA
About the family: Transfer RNA (tRNA) molecules are approximately 80 nucleotides in length. Their secondary structure includes four short double-helical elements and three loops (D, anti-codon, and T loops).
Source: RNAcentral
GCCGGGCUGGCGGAAUGGUAGACGCGACGGAUUCAAAAUCCGUUGGAGGCAACUCCAUGAGGGUUCGAGUCCCUUGCCCGGUACCA